AACGAACGCUGGCGGCAGGCCUAACACAUGCAAGUCGAGCGAGGACUUCGGUCCUAGCGGCGGACGGGUGAGUAACGCGUGGGAACGUGCCCUUUGCUUCGGAAUAGCCCUGAGAAACUGGGAGUAAUACCGGAUGAGCCCUUUGGGGGAAAGAUUUAUCGGCGAAGGAUCGGCCCGCGUUGGAUUAGGUAGUUGGUGGGGUAAUGGCCUACCAAGCCGACGAUCCAUAGCUGGUUUGAGAGGAUGAUCAGCCACACUGGGACUGAGACACGGCCCAGACUCCUACGGGAAGCAGCAGGGGGGAAUCUUAGACAAUGGGGGAAACCCUGAUCUAGCCAUGCCGCGUGAGCGAUGAAGGCCUUAGGGUUGUAAAGCUCUUUCAGCUGGGAAGAUAAUGACGGUACCAGCAGAAGAAGCCCCGGCUAACUCCGUG
This 433-nucleotide ribosomal RNA is filed under the name uncultured bacterium. RNAcentral's name for it is "partial 16S ribosomal RNA". It matches the Rfam family "Bacterial small subunit ribosomal RNA", at positions 29 to 507 of the family's 1533-position model. The record is from RNAcentral.